UUUAGAAAUGGCGCUGUGAAGGGCGAACUCACCUGGACUCUGACUGAAAAUUUUAAAGGCUUCAGUUCACGGUUGUAUCCCCACCACUCCGUCCCGACCAUUUUCAGACCCGCUGGCCCAGAAACUUUGCAAUUAAAAGUUCUGGAGGCUGAGAAAUCCAAGAUCAAAGAGUCAGCUGAUUUGAGAAGAGGCCAUGUGAAGACACAGUGAGAAGGUGAUCAUCUACAGGCCAGAAAGAGAGGCCUCACCAGAAACAAACCUGCUCACUCCUUGAUCUGGGACUUUCAGCCUCCAGGCCAAUACAAAGACACUGGAAAUAUCCUGUGACAGUCACGAAGAAACUUCAAAGAGGAACAAAGAGAACGAAUUGUGAGAACACUCUCCAGACAACAAUAAAUUGUGACAGAUGGGAGCCUGAGAGGCAUGGGAGAGCCCUGAGUUCCUGGGCUGGAAGUGGGCAUGAGGCUGUGGUAAGUGGAGCCAAGAGGAUAAUUACCAGGCUAUGCAGAUCAUCUGAGAGGUUUUUGAAAUUGUCGCAAAUCUCAAAAAAAUUUCCAAUGUAUUUAUUGAAAAAAAUCCCCAUACAAGUGGACCUGUGCAGUUCAAAUCUGUGUUGUUCAAGGACAACUGUAUAGUCCAAAUACUGUUGUUCAGAGUUACCUGGGUUAGUUUUUGUCUUUCCUAACUCCUUCAGUGUGA
Balaenoptera ricei (Rice's whale) is the source of this 699-nucleotide long non-coding RNA. RefSeq lists it as uncharacterized. The transcript has 7 exons. Lineage: Eukaryota; Metazoa; Chordata; Mammalia; Artiodactyla; Balaenopteridae. The record is from RefSeq and is a predicted model, not a curated record.